ACAUUCGUAGCUCGUUUUUUAAGUUCUUUGUGAAAUCUGAUAUCUUAAGUAUUAGGCGCGCAAGGAAUACUGGAAAACUUGGGACCGGAGGAAGUAAGGAGUACGACCGAGGUAGUAGUAAAAUAUGUUAAUCUUGGUUGGACUAACAACAGCGAAGGCACCUUACUAAUACGGAUCCGACAGUGAGGAAUGAAGGCUAGGGUCGCGAAACGGAUUAGAUACCCGUGUAGUCCUAGCAGUAAACACUGCUCACUAAACAUUAGCACCUCCUCGAGAGGUGUUAGUGCUGCAGAGAAGUCGAAGAGUGAGCUACCUGGGAAGUAUAGUCGCAAGACCGAAACUUAAAGGAAUUGGCGGGGGAGCACAAGCCGA
Molecule: ribosomal RNA, 372 nt
Filed under: uncultured euryarchaeote
Lineage: Archaea; Methanobacteriati; Methanobacteriota
Description: bacterial SSU rRNA
Rfam family: Archaeal small subunit ribosomal RNA
Source: RNAcentral